GAUGAACGCUGGCGGCGUGCCUAACACAUGCAAGUCAAGCGAUCUUCUUCGGAAGAGAGCGGCGGACGGGUGAGUAACGCGUGGGUAACCUGCCCUGUACACACGGAUAACAUACCGAAAGGUAUGCUAAUACGGGAUAACAUAAGAAAGUCGCAUGGCUUUCUUAUCAAAGCUUUUACGGUACAGGAUGGACCCGCGUCUGAUUAGCUAGUUGGUAAGGUAACGGCUUACCAAGGCGACGAUCAGUAGCCGACCUGAGAGGGUGAUCGGCCACAUUGGAACUGAGACACGGUCCAAACUCCUACGGGAGGCAGCAGUGGGGAAUAUUGCACAAUGGGCGAAAGCCUGAUGCAGCAACGCCGCGUGAGCGAUGAAGGCCUUCGGGUCGUAAAGCUCUGUCCUCAAGGAAGAUAAUGACGGUACUUGAGGAGGAAGCCCCGGCUAACUACGUGCCAGCAGCCGCGGUAAUACGUAGGGGGCUAGCGUUAUCCGGAAUUACUGGGCGUAAAGGGUGCGUAGGCGGUCUUUCAAGUCAGAAGUGAAAGGCUACGGCUCAACCGUAGUAAGCUUUUGAAACUGUAAGACUUGAGUGCAGGAGAGGAGAGUGGAAUUCCUAGUGUAGCGGUGAAAUGCGUAGAUAUUAGGAGGAACACCAGUUGCAAAGCGGCUCUCUGGACUGUA
This 681-nucleotide ribosomal RNA is filed under the name uncultured Clostridium sp. Its description in RNAcentral is "bacterial SSU rRNA". It matches the Rfam family "Bacterial small subunit ribosomal RNA", at positions 28 to 738 of the family's 1533-position model. Lineage: Bacteria; Bacillati; Bacillota; Clostridia; Eubacteriales; Clostridiaceae. The record is from RNAcentral.